RNAcentral lists this ribosomal RNA (264 nucleotides) under uncultured bacterium. RNAcentral describes it as "partial 16S ribosomal RNA". It matches the Rfam family "Bacterial small subunit ribosomal RNA", at positions 28 to 294 of the family's 1533-position model. The record is from RNAcentral.
GACGAACGCUGGCGGCGUGCUUAACACAUGCAAGUCGAGCGGUAAGGCCCUUUCGGGGGUACACGAGCGGCGAACGGGUGAGUAACACGUGGGUGACCUGCCCUCAGCUCUGGGAUAAGCCCGGGAAACUGGGUCUAAUACCGGAUAUGACUCCAUGACGCAUGUUGUGGGGUGGAAAGCCUUGUGCGGCUGAGGAUGGGCCCGCGGCCUAUCAGCUUGUUGGUGGGGUGAUGGCCUACCAAGGCGACGACGGUAGCCGGCCUC